This 488-nucleotide ribosomal RNA is filed under the name uncultured bacterium. RNAcentral describes it as "bacterial SSU rRNA". It matches the Rfam family "Bacterial small subunit ribosomal RNA", at positions 328 to 801 of the family's 1533-position model. The record is from RNAcentral.
UCUGUGAACUCCUACGGGAGGCAGCAGUGGGGAAUAUUGGACAAUGGGCGAAAGCCUGAUCCAGCCAUGCCGCGUGUGUGAAGAAGGUCUUCGGAUUGUAAAGCACUUUAAGUUGGGAGGAAGGGCAUUAACCUAAUUAAUACCUAGGGAUAGUGGACGUUACUCGCAGAAUAAGCACCGGCUAACUCUGUGCCAGCAGCCGCGGUAAUACAGAGGGUGCGAGCGUUAAUCGGAUUUACUGGGCGUAAAGCGUGCGUAGGUGGCCAAUUAAGUCAAAUGUGAAAUCCCCGAGCUUAACUUGGGAAUUGCAUUCGAUACUGGUUGGCUAGAGUAUGGGAGAGGAUGGUAGAAUUCCAGGUGUAGCGGUGAAAUGCGUAGAGAUCUGGAGGAAUACCGAUGGCGAAGGCAGCCAUCUGGCCUAAUACUGACACUGAGGUACGGGAGCAUGGGGAGCAAACAGGAUUAGAAACCCGGGUAGUCCAUCAGCG